This is a non-coding RNA of Vicugna pacos (alpaca), 2133 nucleotides long. The record is from RefSeq and is a predicted model, not a curated record. Lineage: Eukaryota; Metazoa; Chordata; Mammalia; Artiodactyla; Camelidae.
UGAAUAAUUGAUUGGGUUUCUAGGGUCGUCAUCUGGGCCCCACCCUGUGGAGCUUUGAGCUGGUUCAACUUCUCCAGGUGGUUUGUCCGGGGUCCCCAAAAGCGUCACGGUGACUGGCUGCAUCAGCAUCACCAGGGGCUGAUCCCAUCACCUGAAUCUGAGCCUCUGGGAAAAACCCAGGAAUCUGUAUUUUUGAUGAUGGAGUUCUUCCCGAGUCUGACUGCAAGCCCUCCUGCUUUAAUUGAGCACGUUUUCUUCAUUUGGGUUUUCUAUGGGAUAAUGAGCCUGUUUGAAGACAGCUGUUCUGCCUCCUUUGACCUUUCUCAGGACACCUGUUUCCCUUGUUCAACUUCUGAAUCCAGCAGACCCACUUGUUUGGGCCAAAUGAAGAAAACCAGAGAGGCUCCCCAAGUACUGGAUGCUGGAGAAUCCCAGCAAAGGGAAAGGAAAAAACCUGCAGCGUCACCCCACGCCCGAGGAGACUGUCUUCCCUUUCUUGGCCUUGACCCUUGCUUUCAGGAUGAACUAAAAUUCUUAUCUCCUCUGCAUCCAGCAUACUUGGGCUCGCCUUCCUGACUGCAGUGGCUAGAGUUUCCCAAGCUCUGUGGGGUUAUUUUUGCCUCUGGGUGGUGGUCAUUACUUCCUUCCACAGCCGUUAGGGUCAACCCAGCCACAGAAAAAAAGCAAAUUAGCAAACACCCUCAACAUGGCAGGACUGACCCCCAAACCUACUUUCAUUUUCUUCCGGUCUGGGUUGUGGGUAAUUUCUUGACAACUAUGAGAAAGAAGAUAAUGAAAAAUGAAUAGUUUGUUCAGAGCACUUGUGAAUAGACGUAUAAUCUCCCAGUCUCAGGAAUGUUCUAGGAAUCCCUUACAUCACCUUAAAGGGGCAGAGAAAACAGGUGGAGGUGCUGAGGGCAAGGCUGAUAGUCAGCACCUGUGGGGCUUAGCCUCCUUCUAAAGAAGGCGGCAGCAACCACCCGGGUCACUUUAGCUGGUUCUGAGCUUCUAAAUUCGGCACCGUGAACAGACUUGCUUCCUUUCAGCAAUUGAUCUGAGUAGCAGAAUCCCGUCCUGAUGGUCGGAAUCACAUUUACAGGCUGUGGGGGUGAAGGCCGCGCUAAUUGGCCACUUGCCUCACCACUGGCUUUGAAACAAUCGCUUGUAUUCUCUGCCCGGCAGGAAGCAGCGGGCCCAUCAAGGCUCUGGGCUCCCUCUUUGUCCUGACUUUAUGGCAUUUUAUGCCACAAUAAGAAACACUGUGUACUCCGUGGGAGCCCAUUGUGCCAGGCUGUGAGGAUGUGGGCUCCGGUGCAGAAGGGCUGCUGCUCUUCCCCUGGGAGAAGAGGGACUUUGUGACAGGCUGCAGGACAAGACAAGGGGAGCCGGACACUGUUACUGGGGCAACUGUCUGGCCAGGGUGGAGGCAGCUGUGGCCCCUGGGUCCUUCUCACCCGAAGGCCAGGAUGAAGGCAGGAGAAGGAUGGAAUUUCUUCUAGAGUAGCACCCCUGGUUAUCUGGUAAAUUAUUCAUCAGGACUACCAGCCGCAGCCUGGCUGCCAGACCACCUCAUCCUGCCUCUGGAUUCUGUGCCAGGUGACCACGUCUGCUUAAACCAUCUCUCACGCUCCACCAGGAAGCGCCAUCUUGUUGCAGUCACAAAUAAGGUGACCAGAGCUGCACACGUUGUAUGUACGUGAAUUCCAGUUCCUAAUCACCUUAGCUGCACCCAAAGCGAACCAAACCUCAGACUUCUGAAGCCUUUCUAAGAUGGCUGUGGUACGUAUAUUAACUUGCAGGAAGACCAAGUUAUAUUUACACUGAAAGGUAGCUUGGAAAGUUGUUGGAUGCCAGUGGACUUGCCUGGAAACCACUACUCUUAGCCUUGCAGAGAAAAUCUUCAACAGAAUUUAUUUGCAAGGUCCUGUGAAGCUGAUGGAAGCAGGCAUCCGUACCAGAGGGAAAAAUAGUGGAAAAGUGACUUUCCUGGUGUGGCUUUUCCUCGCAUCAGCGUGGUUUGACCUGAGAACUCGAUAGGUGCUUUGAUUCUGAUUCAGCCAGAGUGAGCCCUAUCCAUGACUCAAGCCACUUCACUGAGUUUGAUGAUGGGGUUUGGGGCCAAAAUGCCAGCCA